UUGGAGGGCAAGUCUGGUGCCAGCAGCCGCGGUAAUUCCAGCUCCAAUAGCGUAUAUUAAAGUUGUUGCAGUUAAAAAGCUCGUAGUUGAAUUUCGGGAUCAAAUUGUCGGUCGUGCCAAUUGGUACGCACUGGCAUUAUUGGUUCCUAUCUUCUGAAAAACCGCGAUUGUCAUUAAUUUGGUGUCAUGGGGAAUCAGGACUGUUACUUUGAAAAAAUUAGAGUGUUUAAAGCAGGCGCACGCUUGAAUACAUUAGCAUGGAAUAAUGAAAUAGGACGUUUGAUUCUAUUUUGUUGGUUUCUAGGAUCGACGUAAUGAUUAAUAGGGAUAGUUGGGGGCAUUAGUAUUCAAUUGUCAGAGGUGAAAUUCUUGGAUUUAUUGAAGACUAACUACUGCGAAAGCAUUUGCCAAGGAUGUUUUCAUUAAUCAAGAACGAAAGUUAGGGGAUCGAAGACGAUCAGAUACCAUCGUAGUCUUAACCAUAAACUAUGCCGACUAGGGAUCGGAUGAUGUUAAUUUUUUAAUGACUCAUUCGGCGCCUUACGGGAAAC
RNAcentral lists this ribosomal RNA (551 nucleotides) under uncultured Glomeromycotina. Its description in RNAcentral is "SSU rRNA". It matches the Rfam family "Eukaryotic small subunit ribosomal RNA", at positions 548 to 1098 of the family's 1831-position model. Lineage: Eukaryota; Fungi; Glomeromycota. The record is from RNAcentral.